CAUUUAUUGAAGUUCACAACAGGUGAAUUGAUUUCCUUAUCAUUAAUGGCUUCCUUUUGGUCAUUCCUGGCAACUUUCAUGGUUUUCGUGGCCCAUUUUAUUUCACUAGCUUUUACAUCUCAAGUACAUGUACAAUUCUCUACUAUAUCAGCAGCUCCUGCACUCUUGCCUGAAGCUCCCUUAUCCUCUCCUCCAAAUUUAUCACCAGACAUUGAGCCUGUGUUUCCUACCACUGGAGCUGGGGUACCUUCUCCAGCUGAGUCAUCACUUCCCACCAUUCCUUCAAGCCGAAGCCCUCCAAAUCCAGAUCUCAUUGAUCCAGCUCCGGGGCCUGUGUUUGCUGUGUCACCAUCUGGGUCUUUACCAGCUUCUUCUGCUACUUCUCUGAGUUCAUUAGCAACUCUAAAUCUAGCUCUCUACUUUCUUGGUUUGCUGGUGUUUUGCUUGGUGCAGCUUUCUGCUUUGUGAGGUACUGUUGGUGGCAGCUCCAUUAUUGUUGCUGGUGGUUCCACUUCCUCUUUUAUUUUUUGUUGAUUUAUUUCUGUAGUGUAUAGUGUGCCAUACUGUGAUGUUUGGUAAGUAAGGAAGUGCGUGGCAUGGUUGUAACUUUGUGAUAGGACAGUGUCUACAAAAAAUAAAAGAGGAAGUGGAACCAC
This 656-nucleotide unclassified non-coding RNA is filed under the name Hevea brasiliensis (rubber tree). The record is from RNAcentral. Lineage: Eukaryota; Viridiplantae; Streptophyta; Magnoliopsida; Malpighiales; Euphorbiaceae.